This 831-nucleotide ribosomal RNA is filed under the name Cordyceps javanica. RNAcentral's name for it is "partial large subunit ribosomal RNA". It matches the Rfam family "Eukaryotic large subunit ribosomal RNA", at positions 72 to 935 of the family's 3401-position model. Lineage: Eukaryota; Fungi; Ascomycota; Sordariomycetes; Hypocreales; Cordycipitaceae. The record is from RNAcentral.
GGAUUGCCCCAGUAACGGCGAGUGAAGCGGCAACAGCUCAAAUUUGAAAUCUGGCCCUCGGGUCCGAGUUGUAAUUUGUAGAGGAUGCUUUUGGCGAGGUGCCUUCCGAGUUCCCUGGAACGGGACGCCAUAGAGGGUGAGAGCCCCGUCUGGUCGGACACCGAGCCUCUGUAAAGCUCCUUCGACGAGUCGAGUAGUUUGGGAAUGCUGCUCAAAAUGGGAGGUAUAUGUCUUCUAAAGCUAAAUAUUGGCCAGAGACCGAUAGCGCACAAGUAGAGUGAUCGAAAGAUGAAAAGCACUUUGAAAAGAGGGUUAAAAAGUACGUGAAAUUGUUGAAAGGGAAGCGCCUAUGACCAGACUUGAGCCCGGUGAAUCAUCCAGCGUUCUCGCUGGUGCACUUUGCCGGGCCCAGGCCAGCAUCAGUUUGGCGCGGGGGAUAAAGGUGACGGGAAUGUGGCUCCCUCGGGAGUGUUAUAGCCCGCUACGUAAUACCCUGCGCCGGACUGAGGUACGCGCAUUGCAAGGAUGCUGGCGUAAUGGUCAUCAGCGACCCGUCUUGAAACACGGACCAAGGAGUCGUCUUCGUAUGCGAGUGUUCGGGUGUCAAACCCCUACGCGUAAUGAAAGUGAACGCAGGUGAGAGCUUCGGCGCAUCAUCGACCGAUCCUGAUGUUCUCGGAUGGAUUUGAGUAAGAGCAUACGGGGCCGGACCCGAAAGAAGGUGAACUAUGCCUGUAUAGGGUGAAGCCAGAGGAAACUCUGGUGGAGGCUCGCAGCGGUUCUGACGUGCGAAUCGAUCGUCAAAUAUGGGCAUGGGGGCGAAAGACUAAU